This 28-nucleotide small RNA is filed under the name Bombyx mori (domestic silkworm). Its description in RNAcentral is "ovarian small RNA-2781". The record is from RNAcentral. Lineage: Eukaryota; Metazoa; Arthropoda; Insecta; Lepidoptera; Bombycidae.
GCUGCGAUGGCUCGAGUCUUAUGUUAGA